RNAcentral lists this ribosomal RNA (225 nucleotides) under uncultured bacterium. Its description in RNAcentral is "partial 16S ribosomal RNA". It matches the Rfam family "Bacterial small subunit ribosomal RNA", at positions 15 to 244 of the family's 1533-position model. The record is from RNAcentral.
GAUCCUGGCUCAGGAUGAACGCUGGCGGCGUGCCUAAUACAUGCAAGUCGAACGCUUCACAUUUGUGAAGAGUGGCGAACGGGUGAGUAAUACAUAAGUAACCUGGCAUCUACAGGGGGAUAACUGAUGGAAACGUCAGCUAAGACCGCAUAGGUGUAGAGAUCGCAUGAACUCUAUAUGAAAAGUGCUACGGGACUGGUAGAUGAUGGACUUAUGGCGCAUUAG